Molecule: ribosomal RNA, 586 nt
Filed under: uncultured bacterium
Lineage: Bacteria
Description: partial 16S ribosomal RNA
Rfam family: Bacterial small subunit ribosomal RNA
Source: RNAcentral
UGGGGAAUUUUGGACAAUGGGCGAAAGCCUGAUCCAGCAAUGCCGCGUGUGUGAAGAAGGCCUUCGGGUUGUAAAGCACUUUUGUCCGGAAAGAAAUCCUUGGCUCUAAUACAGUCGGGGGAUGACGGUACCGGAAGAAUAAGCACCGGCUAACUACGUGCCAGCAGCCGCGGUAAUACGUAGGGUGCAAGCGUUAAUCGGAAUUACUGGGCGUAAAGCGUGCGCAGGCGGUUUGCUAAGACCGAUGUGAAAUCCCCGGGCUCAACCUGGGGAACUGCAUUGGUGACUGGCAGGCUAGAGUAUGGCAGAGGGGGGUAGAAUUCCACGUGUAGCAGUGAAAUGCGUAGAGAUGUGGAGGAAUACCGAUGGCGAAGGCAGCCCCCUGGGCCAAUACUGACGCUCAUGCACGAAAGCGUGGGGAGCAAACAGGAUUAGAUACCCUGGUAGUCCACGCCCUAAACGAUGUCAACUAGUUGUUGGGGAUUCAUUUCCUUAGUAACGUAGCUAACGCGUGAAGUUGACCGCCUGGGGAGUACGGUCGCAAGAUUAAAACUCAAAGGAAUUGACGGGGUCAUAGCUGUUUCCU